GCAGCUCCCCAGCCCAGGGCCGCGGGCUACAGCCGUUCCUUCUCCCUGCUCCUCUACCCUUGCUUCUUCCACGCCGUGCUGCUUUAGCUCGGGGAUAAAAUCCCGUCGCGCGCAGCCUCUGCUCACCGUGGCUGGUGCGCUCAUUUCCGUCGAGCUCCUUCUCUGCCAUGGCCGCCGUCAGUUCCUCCCUGCCCAGCUCCCAGCACCGCGCUCCCUCAGCUCGCGGAGCUUCUCCUCGCCCCGCUCGGCCUCUGUUUCUCCCUGCUCCCGCACAGCCGCGCGCUCUGCUUACCAUCGCAAGCUCGCCACACCCCUGGACGCCUGCUUCUUGUCUGCUCGGCGCCCCUGCGCUUGCUCGCUUGGAUCUCCCUUGCCAUGGCCGUACGCUGCCGAGCUCCAAGCUCCAACUCGGAUCUUUCUCCCUCGUCUUCCUUCACACGAGCUCGCACCAGCCUCUGCUUCCUGCUCGCCAUGGCGCUUGGCAUCCAGCUUUCUGCGCACCGGCUCCUUGCUCCAGCUCCCACGCGCGUCCGAGCUCGCCCCGGCUCCAGCUUCUCCCAUGGCCGGCGAUACUCCAGUCCUCUGCGCAGCGCGCACGCUUAGCUUGCCUCUCUUGCGCGCAGUCCUCUGUUCCUGCGUGCCACAGUCGCCCAGCUUUGUUGCCGCGCCCAGCCGUUCUCAGCUGCUCACCGUGGCCGGCUCCUGCUUGGCCACCAUCUCCCAUGGCGAUGGCCGCCGAGCUCCCUUGUCGUGGCUGUCACGUCCCUGCGCCCAGCCUUUAGCUCAAUCCGUAUGCACGCGAGCUAACUGGUGUGCUGCUGUUCUAGUUCGGAUCUCGCCCAUGGUGUCGAUCGGCUAUUGGUUUCGCCGGUUGUCGAUUUUCCUAUUCGCUAUGGUCAUCACGUCAGCCGUCCCUAUCCGAACUUGCGAGCUCGCCGACUGACCGUCGUGUUCCUUGAAAUCUCUCGUCGGUCGACCUCGCGACUUAGUUCGUCCGUCGUGCUGGUCGCUGUCCCAUACUGUACCUAUUAGCUCGGAUCCUGCCCAGCUCGUCGUCGUAUCGUUUACCGUCGAGUCGUCGAACCCGUCAUCCUCUGCUCAAACCCCACCUCACCAGCUCGCUUCAAACACGAUCUCGUCGUCAAGCUUUGCCUCAGCCUUAGCUCGUCGGUCACGCUCGCCAGAUGUCCGAUCGAAGAUUUUAUUCGGAGACUGUUGACACUCUCGCAAGCUUUAAGUCGGAAUUAAUGGACGGUACGAUAAUUGAUCGCGUGAUGCGGAAGACGAGCCAAGUCGACCCCAAACACGGGCUAAUCCACAAGAUGGUACUGAUGAACGAAACUGAAGAUGGACAGACGGAGCAAGUAUCAGAACAAAAGAUGAUCGUCAAGUGGACGUCGUCUAACAAACACUAACUUAGUGUUUAUCCCAGGCAAGCCCCGGUGCAUGCAACCCCUUUCCUUGUGUUUUUAAAUACUUUUCGCACACUUAAGUCUAGUGAAAUGAGCAUUAGGUUCAUAGGAGUUGCUUGGAACCCUUUGAUGCAUUGCUUUCCUUGAUAUUUAUACCUUUAUAGAUACUUCUGUGAAGUAUCAAAAUAUGAUUUACAAAAAUGCUUAGCCUUGCUUAGAUCUUGUGGAUAGAGGUUGUCCUCAGUCUAACCCGGGAGAGGAUGGCUUCUACCUGCAAGAAUAUUUUCAUUUGGAGCAAUAGUGGGAUCUUACUGCAAAGUUCCCUGUGAUGCUCUUUCAUCCUAAGGAACAGACACAAUCCUAAGGAUGGAAAUACUUAAAUUGAGACUUGGGUUAGGAACAGGUGAUGUUCUACCCAGGUUGGUUAAGGAUUAAUGCGUAUGUAGGCGUGCUGACCGAGGACCCUUUAACUGGUCACAUGCCUCGUCAUGGGUAAGCCUUGCCUCGGGCAGACUAAGGCCAGAAUAAGAUAACACGAAAUGAGCGUGGAGCGGUGGCGAGAGUAGCGUGUACCCUCCGUGGCAAGAGGCUGGAUGGUGGUGUAUCUGUGCUCUCGGUUUGCGUGAACCUGAUCUGGUCUUAAGAACCCCGGUGGCGGGUUGACAUAUGCAAGGGUUAAGUGCUACAUAUGUCGUGUGAUUGGAGAUCCUCAGCUGAGUAUAAUCGAUUCGGAUCGCCGUACCUUCGCGGUUAUGAAGACUUGGUCACUUUUCUACAACCUAAAGUCAGGAUGUGAACACUAUGGAUAAAAAUGAUGUUGUAUUGAUGAGAUGUUGAAAUUAGACUAGAUGCAAAUAGAGUCUAUUAAUACUUAAUAUGGCGUUAAAAGAUUGAAAGUAAGGACUCACUUUAGUAAGCUACUUCUGCAAAAAUAUAAGUUGAUUUUUGCUAAAGCCUCUCCUUGACUCCUAUUUAUCCAGCAUACCCUUGAGAGUCUUUUUCUUAGUCGGGUAAGACUUGCUGAGUAAUUCCAUACUCAGGGUUUUAUUCCCUGUUGUUUUUCAGGUUCUAACUUUGUGCUGUUGUUGAUGGUGUUAAGUGCCGGUGGGCUCGGCCUUCUUAUAAGUCUAAGUAACCCUUCUAUACUUCUUAUUGAGGAUGAUCCCUUGAGCUAGCAUAUAUUUCAAACUUAUACUUUUGUAAUCACUCCGAUAAAAUAAUAUAAAAAUUUUGUAACUUGUAAAAUUUGGUAAUAGUAUUUCCGCUGCAAAAAUAUUGUGUGUGUGAUUUGUGUUACUUAAUCCCGCGGUUCUGGUUGUAAGUGGUUUAUCCGAUGUCCUUGGGGCAAUCGGACAGAUCCUGUUAAGUUAUAUGGUGCACAUGCAUAGCCGUCUGAGGUCUUUGGGACAAGGACAAGUGCAUGUGGGCCCAAUAACUUGGAGGUUCUGCCACAGCUGGUAUCGGAGCUGGAUUAAGUAUAUACAGUCACAUACAUAUUUUCAAAACAAUAGUUUUGGUUUCGAAAAACCUAUUUUCAACUAAACAUAUUGUUUGGCUUUGAAAAAUAGUUUUGAAAAACUAUAAUGCUAGCGACAUCCUCUGUUAAGCCCUAAACUAAGGACUAUUAGGUGGCUUAGUUGAAAACCACUAACCCACAACCGGGUGGGUAUUGCAUACAUGUGUAUUGUUAUUUUUGAAAACCAUUCCGUUUGGAAUGGAUCGACGCCCAAGGUAAGGUGAGUUGUGAGAGCAUGACCGAACAACCGUCGGUCUAGGGGAAUGCUUAAUUGUGGCGCUUGAUUAUAUACAUGUUCUAUAUUUGUAUAUAUGAAAGCUGCGAUGUGGAGUAAUUACUUUUCUGGGAAUUCAGUACCCCAUGGAUGUGUAUGGGCAUACAGACAUGGGAAUACUGAGAAGUGUAAUGUACUUGUAACGACGCACCUACGCUCAGGUAAGAAGGUGAGUUACCAUAAUGAGUUGCCCUAUGGUUAAAGUGUGGCAACGGCGCCUAUGCGUGGCUCGGCGCUUAAUGAUGAGCUGGCCUCCAUAUAGCAAUAUAUGGAGUAUAAACUGUGAUAAACUGUCAUGUGUGACUUGCAUCAUUGGGAAAUGGGCUGUGAUGGAUUUUUCUGCAGGUACACUAACCUCGAAAACGUAUGUGUAGCUGACGACUAGCAAAAUACCGUGAGAGUCGUUAGUAUGCCACCGAUAUAGAACGUUAUUGCCACAGUGUGUUGGCAAAAACUCGUGAGGACGUAUAGGACGAGCAUGCAUCCUGGUUGUUGCAUCAUGUUUGUUACCUAUACAUCCAAAAUGCUUAUCUCAUCUUUAUUCCAGCAACCAUUGAUUGUAGAUAAUGUAGUGUAAUGCAGUAUUAUGGACUUCGAUAAAAUAGAUGUCCUCCGUUCUUUAGAUAAUCUAUUUAGUGUCAUAUGUGUUUUCCCUUGUACUGGAUGUGCCGAUAGAAGGUUGUGACCUAUUUGUUUAAACCAAAAAUUAGGCCAUGUUCUUAUUUAGUGAACCAUGCCCCAAAUUUGAAUGGUCCAUUAUCACUCCAUGACAAAGCCCAUACAAAUAAAUGCGUAGAUAAUUUCUUUGUUGGACAUAAAUUGUGCCUAGGCUUAAACAAGAAUCUCGAGUCAUGUUUCCUUCUAAAACCAUUCCCUUGUUUAUUGGUGCAAGCUGAUGUACCUUAACCAGUUCGCCUGUUCUUAAGGAUCGCCAUGUUGAAUUAUCAACCCAACCUAGGAAAAGUAUGUCCGACCAUUUUCUUGAAUUUGAUGCCUUUGAUUUCCCCCAUACCUAUCGAAGGCAUACCAACUUAAUCUUAUGAUUGUUUCCCCUCUGUAUCUAAUCAGAUACUAAUCCUUGACCCUUGUACUCUCUGUGAUGGGCAUAGAGAUAUGCUUGGGGCUGAACUUACAGUCUCCCAUCGUACUCCCUCACCACACAGUUUAGGUUAUGGCCAUACCUUGUUCAUUUCAUCAGGCCAUGAUCUAUUUGGCUCUCUAUUUGUAAUCAUUCUUACAGGUGGAGUAUCCCUUUGUAUAUUGUCACCCUUGCCCAAUCCAUUGGUGUGGCGCGAUAUUUCUUAUUGGUUACGUCUGGUAAUGGUGUUAUGACUAAAACCGAUGGUGCCGUGACGAAAUCGAGGGCCUCCUGUGGAUGCAUACACAUGGUUGCGCUACUUGGCACGCGCUGGUAUCACAGUUAGUAGUCAUAAUCCAUUAUGAGACUAUAUCGAUAUGUUAUAUUUGCACAAUCUGUUUUUACCACGUGAGAUUCAUUAUUGGUGCCAGUUUUGUAAUGGUGUCAUGAUUAAGGACUUAUGGUGCCGCAGCGAAACUGAGAGCCCCUUGUGAAUGUACACGCAAGGUUAUGCUGCUUGGCGCAUGCUGGUAUCGAGGUCUCUAGUCAUGAUCCAGUGUGGAACUACACUAAUAUAUUAUCUUCCGUAGAUCUCUUCCCUUGAAACGAUUUCGGUGUUGUUUGUCAAGUGAUCAAGCAACAUCUAUCAUCUCUAUUGGAUCAAAAGGGCAUACCACUUCCAUGUGUGGUCUCUUUUUCCUUGACUUUGGUAGUGACUGCACACAUACAUGUCCCCUUUGCAUCCUUUGUGUAAAGGUGAAGCCUUGGAGCUUUUUAGUGUUGAAAAACCACUGAUUAGCUCUCAAAAUAGAGAUUGACUUUCCCUGCUGCUGUGAUGCAGGAGUUGUUCAUUUGCUCCCCUAUUUAAUCCAUGUAUUUCCGAACCCUGUCCGUUCAUCUCGCAUGAAGAAACGGAUGAACAACUUAACCAAAUAGAUUUCUACCCAAAUACAUAAUCUCUUGUUAAUAUGAGUGAGCUCUCGACCGUUGGCUUACCGAUGGUACUGAGGGGACUUGCUCAAUGUCAAAAGUAGUUCAACAAGUUGGUUUUACUAACUUGUAACUGCAUUGUAAACAAAAGUUGAGUUAGACAUCAUUUUAUCGAGUUGUCUAAACUCACUUUAGUUCAACCCAUCCUAAGAAAGUACUUAUGAAAAUCGAGAUUAGGUCAACUAAUAACCACCUAGCCAUCGCUCAAGUCAUGUCUCGAUCGCCUCACGUGUGCUUUUCUAGCAUGUGUGAUCACAGUCGAGCCAUGGUUAAUGCUCGAUAAAAUGGGUUGGUUGCGAAUGUAGCAACUACAGAUCCCUCCGCUGGUAAUUCACUCGAAUCUAUACCCUCAUUCGUGGACUUGAAUUCUCGGUUUAGCCACAUGUUAACCGCGAUAGUAUUCAACAUCCCCACUUGUCUCGUGUGCUAUGAGCUUAUCGUGACCACUUGUUGGUAAACCUCUUUUUGGGGGUUUUACCCAAGAUGGUGCAUCUGAUUCUGCUUGGAUAAAAUCGCGUAUUUACCGCUCGCCCAAUAGACUCAGAUAGUGCAGUGUCAUCAGAAAAAGUAAACUGCACACAUGGAACCUUAUGUGUUCCUCUGGCAGGCAACGUCUCUAUUUGUGGGUAUUUCUAAAUUGGCUUAAGUCGAUACAUGAUAUGUCCACUAGAGAAACCAUAUCCGGAGACAUUCGUCUUUACUUGGAUUGUCUUAUGAUUAAUGCUGAUAUGGACAUGAGUUACAUGCUUCUCUACUCUUAGAAGUCUUUCGCUCCGAAUCUCGGGACGAGAUUCUUUUAAGGGGGGAGGGCUGUAACACCCCUGGUGUUUAUAUUCUGCUCGACAACGAGUACGUAUUUAAGCACGUAAUCAAUGAUAAAACGGAUUUUAAAUUUUAAACAUCUUCGUCUAUCGCGAUUUUUAUAUCGCAUCGGUGUCGUCUGUCGCGAGCGCGACAUCGUUUUUAUUUCUAUCUAUCCGGGCUCUUCCUAAAUUUUCGUGAUGUUCGGAACAUAUUUGUUCUGAAAAUCGGUGCGUCCGAUGAUUAUUUAAAAUUCAUCGCUCGCGUGAAUACGAAUUUGAAAGCUCGACCCACUCGGGUGAUUUUUAUCCCGGGUAAAUUAAUUUAAAUUCGAUGACAAAAGUGUUAAUGCAAAAUUAAAUCGGACCACACCCGGAAUCCAAGAAAAACCAGGCGUAGAAUUAUAAUUGAGCUUCGAUUCACUGGCUGUGGAACCAGAUGUUCAGAUCGCAGUUAAAUUUAUCAGAUUUUUGAAUCGAAUCAACUGUCACAAUUACCGUCGACUCUUUUGCUAUCGCUAGAAAUUCUGGGUUCUAAAAAUAUCUACGAAUUUCUAAAAAAAGAAAAGAAAUAAAAAAAACUGAAAAUAUCCUCUCGAGUCUAUCCCUUCCACCGCUCACGUUCUCGGAUUUUCUUUCACUGUGUUGACCGUCGGCCUCAUCCCUGGCCGUUCUUAUCUGCCGCCUCUGGGAUUCUUCAAAUAGCUCGCCGUACUCUGGUUCCGGCCUGCAGAUCCCCAGCCCAGGGCCGCGGGCUACAGCCGUUCCUUCUCCCUGCUCCUCUACCCUUGCUUCUUCCACGCCGUGCUGCUUUAGCUCGGGGAUAAAAUCCCGUCGCGCGCAGCCUCUGCUCACCGUGGCUGGUGCGCUCAUUUCCGUCGAGCUCCUUCUCUGCCAUGGCCGCCGUCAGUUCCUCCCUGCCCAGCUCCCAGCACCGCGCUCCCUCAGCUCGCGGAGCUUCUCCUCGCCCCGCUCGGCCUCUGUUUCUCCCUGCUCCCGCACAGCCGCGCGCUCUGCUUACCAUCGCAAGCUCGCCACACCCCUGGACGCCUGCUUCUUGUCUGCUCGGCGCCCCUGCGCUUGCUCGCUUGGAUCUCCCUUGCCAUGGCCGUACGCUGCCGAGCUCCAAGCUCCAACUCGGAUCUUUCUCCCUCGUCUUCCUUCACACGAGCUCGCACCAGCCUCUGCUUCCUGCUCGCCAUGGCGCUUGGCAUCCAGCUUUCUGCGCACCGGCUCCUUGCUCCAGCUCCCACGCGCGUCCGAGCUCGCCCCGGCUCCAGCUUCUCCCAUGGCCGGCGAUACUCCAGUCCUCUGCGCAGCGCGCACGCUUAGCUUGCCUCUCUUGCGCGCAGUCCUCUGUUCCUGCGUGCCACAGUCGCCCAGCUUUGUUGCCGCGCCCAGCCGUUCUCAGCUGCUCACCGUGGCCGGCUCCUGCUUGGCCACCAUCUCCCAUGGCGAUGGCCGCCGAGCUCCCUUGUCGUGGCUGUCGCGUCCCUGCGCCCAGCCUUUAGCUCAAUCCGUAUGCACGCGAGCUAACUGGUGUGCUGCUGUUCUAGUUCGGAUCUCGCCCAUGGUGUCGAUCGGCUAUUGGUUUCGCCGGUUGUCGAUUUUCCUAUUCGCUAUGGUCAUCAUGUCAGCCGUCCCUAUCCGAACUUGCGAGCUCGCCGACUGACCGUCUUGAAAUCCCUCGUCGGUCGACCUCGCGACUUAGUUCGUCCGUCGUGCUGGUCGCUGUCCCAUACUGUACCUAUUAGCUCGGAUCCUGCCCAGCUCGUCGUCGUAUCGUUUACCGUCGAGUCGUCGAACCCGUCAUCCUCUGCUCAAACCCCACCUCACCAGCUCGCUUCAAACACGAUCUCGUCGUCAAGCUUUGCCUCAGCCUUAGCUCGUCGGUCACGCUCGCCAGAUGUCCGAUCGAAGAUUUUAUUCGGAGACUGUUGACACUCUCGCAAGCUUUAAGUCGGAAUUAAUGGACGGUACGAUAAUUGAUCGCGUGAUGCGGAAGACGAGCCAAGUCGACCCCAAGCACGGGCUAAUCCACAAGAUGGUACUGAUGAACGAAACUGAAGAUGGACAGACGGAGCAAGUAUCAGAACAAAAGAUGAUCAUCAAGUGGACGUCGUCUAACAAACACUAACUUAGUGUUUAUCCCAGGCAAGCCCCGGUGCAUGCAACCCCUUUCCUUGUGUUUUUAAAUACUUUUCGCACACUUAAGUCUAGUGAAAUGAGCAUUAGGUUCAUAGGAGUUGCUUGGAACCCUUUGAUGCAUUGCUUUCCUUGAUAUUCAUACCUUUAUAGAUACUUCUGUGAAGUAUCAAAAUAUGAUUUACAAAAAUGCUUAGCCUUGCUUAGAUCUUGUGGAUAGAGGUUGUCCUCAGUCUAACCCGGGAGAGGAUGGCUUCUACCUGCAAGAAUAUUUUCAUUUGGAGCAAUAGUGGGAUCUUACUGCAAAGUUCCCUGUGAUGCUCUUUCAUCCUAAGGAACAGACACAAUCCUAAGGAUGGAAAUACUUAAAUUGAGACUUGGGUUAGGAAUAGGUGAUGUUCUACCCAGGUUGGUUAAGGAUUAAUGCGUAUGUAGGCGUGCUGACCGAGGACCCUUUAACUGGUCACAUGCCUCGUCAUGGGUAAGCCUUGCCUCGGGCAGACUAAGGCCAGAAUAAGAUAACACGAAAUGGGCGUGGAGCGGUGGCGAGAGUAGCGUGUACCCUCCGUGGCAAGAGGCUGGAUGGUGGUGUAUCUGUGCUCUCGGUUUGCGUGAACCUGAUCUGGUCUUAAGAACCCCGGUGGCGGGUUGACAUAUGCAAGGGUUAAGUGCUACAUAUGUCGUGUGAUUGGAGAUCCUCAGCUGAGUAUAAUCGAUUCGG
Molecule: RNA transcript, 8936 nt
Organism: Zea mays
Lineage: Eukaryota; Viridiplantae; Streptophyta; Magnoliopsida; Poales; Poaceae
Exons: 3
Source: RefSeq, marked predicted